GGGGAACUCAAUUUUCCUAUCAAUACGGCCAGGACGAAGCAAAGCUGGAUCAAGACUUUCAAUUCGGUUUGUUGCAAGAAUCACUUUGACGUCUCCUCUCGAAUCAAAGCCAUCCAAUUGGUUCAGCAACUCCAACAUGGUCCUCUGAAUUUCACGUUCACCACCAGAAUGGGCAUCAUACCUGUAUAGCAGAUUGAUGAGAAAAAUUCCUAGUCUAUUUCCAUCAAGGCAUGAUUGUUUCACUGCCUUACCUCUUAGUACCAACUGCAUCAAUUUCAUCAAUGAAGACGAUUGAAGGGGAAAGGUCAUCAGCAACUCUGAAGAGUUCCCUAACUAACUUGGGACCAUCUCCCAAGUACUUCUGAAUCAAUUCACUGCCAACAACACGUAAGAAAGUUGCUGAUGUAGAAUUAGCCACCGCCUGAAAGAACAUAAAUGACAUAAUAAAAUCAGCUCUGACUUUAUACAACAAACAAUCCAGAAAAGUAUGGCAAUAGCAUAAACUAUUAACAUGCGCAUAUGACCAAGACAAAUAAGUAACAUAUAUUUCAAGUUCACAUGUGUCUAUGCUGUCCCUCAAAUCUGACUUUUGGAAGCUUAUCAUGUCCAUGCCUUGCACUUAUGACUAGAACUGAGAUGUGACAUUUUGUCUCUUAAUCAGAGAAGAGAUUAACAUGAAACAGAGGGGUAUGGAAAUAUAUGAACGAAUACCUUUGCAAGCAAGGUCUUGCCAGUGCCAGGUUCUCCAUACAAGAUAACUCCUUUUGGAGGUUUGAUACCGAUGUCUUCAUACAGUUCAGGAUGAGUCAGAGGGAGCUCAACUGCCUCUUUAAUCUCCUGUAUUUGAGCAUCCAAACCUCCUAUAUCGGCAUAAGAUUCCAAUGGAGCCUUUUCAACCUUCAUAACUGAUACCAUGGGAUCAACUUCAUCUUGCAGAAGUCCAACAACAGAAAGAACCUAAAAACAUACAAUAACCAAGCAUAAAUUUCCCACUGAAAAGUAAAUUGCAAGAGAUGAAGAAAGAAAGAUGCAAAACCAUCAAAUAAAUGGAAAUUUAUACUAGUAUUUCGGACCAGCAAGGGUACCAUGUGACAUAGAAUAAUAACACCACACGAAUAUCACCAACUAGUCCUGUCAAUUCUAACCCGAACCCGUAAACCAAUCUGAUCAACAUGAACACAAACCUGAACCAACUCAUUUUGACCAUUAAAAGUCAACAACCCACACCCAAAAUAACCUGAACCUGAAAAAACACAAACCCAAAAUAACCCAAAGAGGUAAUCCAAAAUGACCAAAACCUAAACUGACCAGAACCUGAAAUGAUUCAAAACCCGAGAUGGCCAAACCAAAAAAAUCCUAGCCUCAAACCCAAAAUAUUGACCUAAACUAUAAAUGACCUGAAAUUUUCAAAACUCAAAUGGACUUAAUCAAGACUGAUCGGAUCCAAAAUGAACUUGAAUGCCCAAUUGACAAAUAUAUCACCAACUAUGAUAGCUAAUUUGAUGAGCCAAAUAUCCCUUCUUGAACUCGUUUAACUCAUUUUUGAAUUAAACAAGUGAUCAAAAGUUUUUUUAAAAAAAAAAAACUCACCGUUUUAAUCAAAGUAACAACACAUAAUUAAAACCCUGUUAUCAAUUUCACAAGAAUUCUAAAUUGCAGCAGUUCUAUCAGCUUGCAGCUACAGAUAUAAAACCACAUAUCUAUCCAGCACUGAAUCUAAAUUACAAAUUAAAAUAUUUUAGCACAAUAAUUCAGUUCCUUUCAGCUGGAAUACUUUCAAUCGUUUACCUUUAAACAAUAUCAUCUUUAAAAAAAAACCCAGAAAGCUUAAGAAAUUAAUUUACCUUGUUGUGCAUCAAAAUAGCGCAUCCAGGCUCCAACUGAUCCUUAUCCACAAACGAUAAAAUCCCAACGUAAUACUCCGGCCCAACCGACGACGAAACAAUAGCAUGAUUCUCAUCGAUCAACUCCUCCAAAUUACCCACACUCAUUGGCGACCCUCUCAAAUCAUCGACUUU
RNAcentral lists this long non-coding RNA (2018 nucleotides) under Gossypium barbadense (sea-island cotton). RNAcentral describes it as "long non-coding RNA (GBAR_LNC007720)". Lineage: Eukaryota; Viridiplantae; Streptophyta; Magnoliopsida; Malvales; Malvaceae. The record is from RNAcentral.